This 209-nucleotide long non-coding RNA is filed under the name Trifolium pratense (red clover). RNAcentral describes it as "long non-coding RNA (TPRA_LNC008841)". The record is from RNAcentral. Lineage: Eukaryota; Viridiplantae; Streptophyta; Magnoliopsida; Fabales; Fabaceae.
AGGGAACAAAUAAAUUAAUUAAAAAAUUUAUUAUAGUAAAAACUGAAUUCCUAAAAUGCAUGUAAAAACUCAAACUUUUCAGAAGACAUAGCAUAACAACAUCAAAAUUGAAUUAAGUGAACACAUAAAUUAAUUAAAAAAAUUGAUAAUAGUACCUGAAAAAACAAAAUUACUGACAAAAAAAAAACCCAGAAAGGAACUAAGUUCAG